AACCUCCUGGGCUGACUAGAUAGCUCCUCAUGCCCACCCAACCGCCUGCUCGUGCGGAGCUUCUGUUUAUAUGUGGCAGUUGGGAGACUAUUAGUCAGUUUCGUGCAGACCACCAGUUAUUGACUAUCUGUUGCUGGUUUGUGUUCUGCUGACUGUUUUUUGCGGGGGUUUUAGAUUCCUUUUAGAAGAAGAUGGCUAAUACUGUGGGGUUGAUUUGGGAGGGUCUAAUGAAUCCAAUGGAUCACCUCCAAAUGAACAGUUACAGAUAAUACAGGAGUGCCCUACACACAUCUAGAGAAUGAAGUACCCUUUCCAAUGAUGUUUCUGGCUCCUGAAAAAAGGUGUGGCAUGUCACCAACCUCCUUUUGCUGAGCUGGCGCAGUCCACUACUAAGGAAUUUGGCACAGGAUGGUGUAUCAAAAAGAUACGUUGUUUCCAAUUAUACGAGGAGCCUAGCCAAAGUCUAAGCGCUCUGGCGGUCACUGAAACUGACUCAUAGACACCCAACCACUGCAUAUAAACAGAAACUCAGCACGAGCAGGCAGCUGGGUGGGCGCAAGGAGCUAUUGGUGUGGAACCCAUUAUUCUAAUGAGCCAAAGGAUCA
Molecule: long non-coding RNA, 605 nt
Organism: Hemicordylus capensis (graceful crag lizard)
Lineage: Eukaryota; Metazoa; Chordata; Lepidosauria; Squamata; Cordylidae
Exons: 4
Source: RefSeq, a predicted model, not a curated record